ACGGAAGGCAGCAGUAGGGAAUCUUUGGCAAUGGGGGCAACCCUGACCGAGCAACGCCGCGUGAGUGAAGAAGGUUUUCGGAUCGUAAAGCUCUGUUGUAAGAGAAGAACGUGUGUGAGAGUGGAAAGUUCACACAGUGACGGUAACUUACCAGAAAGGGACGGCUAACUACGUGCCAGCAGCCGCGGUAAUACGUAGGUCCCGAGCGUUGUCCGGAUUUAUUGGGCGUAAAGCGAGCGCAGGCGGUUUAAUAGGUCUGAAGUUAAAUGCAGUGGCUUAACCAUUGUUCGCUUUGGAAACUGUUGGGCUUGAGUGCAGAAGGGGAGAGUGGAAUUCCAUGUGUAGCGGUGAAAUGCGUAGAUAUAUGGAGGAACGCCGGUGGCGAAAGCAGCUCUCUAGUCUGUAACUGACGCUGAGGCUCGAAAGCGUGGGGAGCAAACAGGAUUAGAUACCCUGGUA
RNAcentral lists this ribosomal RNA (459 nucleotides) under uncultured Streptococcus sp. Its description in RNAcentral is "partial 16S ribosomal RNA". It matches the Rfam family "Bacterial small subunit ribosomal RNA", at positions 341 to 792 of the family's 1533-position model. Lineage: Bacteria; Bacillati; Bacillota; Bacilli; Lactobacillales; Streptococcaceae. The record is from RNAcentral.